This 497-nucleotide ribosomal RNA is filed under the name uncultured bacterium. RNAcentral's name for it is "partial 16S ribosomal RNA". It matches the Rfam family "Bacterial small subunit ribosomal RNA", at positions 28 to 507 of the family's 1533-position model. The record is from RNAcentral.
GACGAACGCUGGCGGCGUGCCUAAUACAUGCAAGUAGAACGCUGAAGAGAGGAGCUUGCUCUUCUUGGAUGAGUUGCGAACGGGUGAGUAACGCGUAGGUAACCUGCCUUGUAGCGGGGGAUAACUAUUGGAAACGAUAGCUAAUACCGCAUAACAAUGGAUGACACAUGUCAUUUAUUUGAAAGGGGCAAUUGCUCCACUACAAGAUGGACCUGCGUUGUAUUAGCCAGUAGGUGAGGUAAUGGCUCACCUAGGCGACGAUACAUAGCCGACCUAAGAGGGUGAUCGGCCACACUGGGACGGAGACACGGCCCAGACUCCUACGGGAGGCAGCAGUAGGGAAUCUUCGGCAAUGGGGGCAACCCUGACCGGGCAACGCCGCGUGAGUGAAGAAGGUUUUCGGAUCGUAAAGCUCGGUUGUAAGUCAAGAACGGGUGUGAGAGUGGAAAGUUCACACUGUGACGGUAGCUGACCAGAAAGGGACGGCUAACUACGUG